Molecule: long non-coding RNA, 379 nt
Organism: Xyrauchen texanus (razorback sucker)
Lineage: Eukaryota; Metazoa; Chordata; Actinopteri; Cypriniformes; Catostomidae
Exons: 3
Source: RefSeq, a predicted model, not a curated record
UGAAUAUGUUGCCCAUACCUCUCUAUCAUUUAUCAGUCUUUUACUUCUCACUAAUUUAGACUUUUGUUUCCACAGGUGGGAAUGCUGUCCUCCAUUGGUUGAAGAGAUACCAAAAACAUCAUAACCAACCAUGGCCAUUAUGGCUCCAUGCUUAAGGGUCACGGCUAUCAUGUCUUCCACACUCUGGGUCUUGUGGUGUGGAUACACCUUACUGCAGGCACCUUCAAGUUAUAGUUCACACAUUCUUCUAAUGCCAUCCCCCAAACUGCCUGCACUCUGAAGACAAAGAUAUCGAAUCUACAUACAAACAACAACAAUCAGUUAUCAAAGAACAGUGCCAAGAAAUUGCAGCAUAACAUAAAACAGCAUUUGUUUCAGC